RNAcentral lists this long non-coding RNA (203 nucleotides) under Mytilus galloprovincialis (Mediterranean mussel). Lineage: Eukaryota; Metazoa; Mollusca; Bivalvia; Mytilida; Mytilidae. The record is from RNAcentral.
UUUUGAUGUUAUAUUUGUUAUUCUCGUGGGAUUUUGUCUGAUGCUUGGUCCGUUUCUGUGUGUGUUAGUUACAUUGUAGUGUUGUGUCGUUGUUCUCUUCUUAUAUUUAUGCGUUUCCGUCAGUUUUAGUUUGUUACCCCGAUUUUGUUUUUUGUCCAUGGAUUUAUGAGUUUGAACAGCGGUAUAUGACUGUUGCCUUUAUU